AUGGGGGUGGAGGAAUCUAAGAAGUAUGCAGCAGAUGCGAGAUGGCCGGCGAUCGCGAAGGUAAACACGACCCGGAUCUUCAGCGCAUCCGCUAUGUUUGAGACCAUGAAAUCGAUCUGGAGCCUAGCACAUGUGCCGCAGUACAGGGAGGCAGGGGAAAACCUAUUUAUCUUUCAGAUGUUUUGCCUGGGAGAUUGGAAGAAAGUUGUCCAUGGAGGUCCGUGGUUGUUCAGAGGGAUGGGGAUGCUGAUUGAAGAUUAUGAUGGUAAGCAAGAUCCGGAAUCCGUCAAUUUCGAUGGCCUGUUUGUCUGGGCACAAAUACACAAUAUACCGGAGCUCUACCGGAAACUUGAAAUUGUUGAUCAGCUAGCUAGGCGGAUUGGUCGGGUGAAGGAAACACAACUAUCUCCAAGGCUCUUCUAUGAAGGUAACUACGUCCGAAUCCGAGCUAGGGUUCUGGUGGACAAACCACUUACGAGGGUUAUUCCAUUGAACGUGGUGGGUGAGGGCAGGAGACUCCUCCCUGUCAAGUACGAGAAGAUACCGUACUUCUGUCAAAUUUGUGGACUUAUGGGUCAUAAUCAUGAGGAGUGUGGAGAUGGAGUUUGGGAGGCCAAGGACAAGCAAUGGGGAAGCUGGAUGCUGGCAUAG
RNAcentral lists this ribosomal RNA (651 nucleotides) under Triticum aestivum (bread wheat). RNAcentral's name for it is "partial small subunit ribosomal RNA". Lineage: Eukaryota; Viridiplantae; Streptophyta; Magnoliopsida; Poales; Poaceae. The record is from RNAcentral.